Cavia porcellus (domestic guinea pig) is the source of this 1222-nucleotide long non-coding RNA. RefSeq lists it as uncharacterized. The transcript is spliced from 3 exons. The record is from RefSeq and is a predicted model, not a curated record. Lineage: Eukaryota; Metazoa; Chordata; Mammalia; Rodentia; Caviidae.
GUGUGUCCGGGGUGUUUCACCGCUGCGCUUUUGGAAGCAAAGCCACUGCUCUAAAACAAGCGAGAACACGCGUGCGACAGGGCGACAGCGCAAGGGGCCUGCGCGGGAACAAGUGUCACCAGCGAGGGGCCCAGGCUGAGCCCAUCCCGAAGAAACCGGAGAGUAGAUCUAGAAUCUUAAAAUGCCCUGUAGUUCAGUUCUGGGGAUUUAACCCAGAGCCUUCACAAAGAACUGCAUUUUCAGUGGGUGCCCGCGCACCCGCAUGCUAACACGCACACACAAGCGCAUCUUUUAAACAUAAUUGAGAUAAGGUCUCGCUAAAUCUCUAAUUUGCCCAAACUGGGCUCAAAAUGAUAAUCCUGCCUCUACCACUCAGUCCUGGGAUUACAGGCGUAUGCUACCAUAUUUGGCUUAAAAACUUCGCUUCUUUUGACCAAAUCAAAUUCUGGGAAUACAUCUUUCAAAGGAUUAGAGGAAAAGAGGAGACGUGAAUAGCAGCAGAAGAGGAGAGGAAAAGAGAAGAGAAGAGAAGAGAAAUAGUUACCAGUACCUACCCCUGGCAUCUGCACUCGCGAUUCCCACCGGCCAUACCUGCCCUGAGGACCUCCAAAGCCCUGCCUGGAUGGACCCUUCCUGCUGGGGUACCCUCCUCUCACCUCUUCAGACACAUUCUUCUCCUUGCCCCUUCAGCCUCUGGUCUUUAAAGACUGUAACAUGCGUUCUUUUAAAUUUAGAAAUCCCACUUUAAAUAUCCUCAAGUGGGUUUUGUCAUUGAAAUCUAAAUUCCUUAUCGUGCUAUGGAGGUCAUGUGUGUGCUUCUAUCUGCAGAGCCAUCAUCAGCCUCCCCACAUUCUGAGGCUUUGGGCCUUACUGUGUGCCUUCCCAAUUGUCUGCCAAGCUCUCAACCCCGAAAGGGGCUAUUCACAGCUGCAGCCUUGUGGUGGUUGUAUCUAGAUAUCCACCUAAUGUCUCAUGUGCCCAUAGGUGGGGCUUUUGCUAGGUAACUGGAUCGUGGCUAUGUGACACUGGAUUAUUCCACUUAUGGGUGUGAUGCUGGGAGAGAAAGCCUGGGGAGAAGAGGUAGGUGGGUCCUUGUGGGUGUGACUGGGAGAUAGAUAGAUGGAUAGGUAGACAGAUUUGUAUAUGCUUGUGCAUAGAGAUAUAGAUGCAUAUGUAAUGCACAAUCAUUAUAACAUAAAUUAAAAUUUUGAAGUGGAGAGAA